AGAGCUUUAUCCUGGCUCAGGAUGAACGCUGGCGGCGUGCUUAACACAUGCAAGUCGAACGAGAACCAUUGGAUCGAGGUUUCGUCCAAGUGAAGGUGGGGAAAGUGGCGGACGGGUGAGUAACGCGUGAGCAAUCUGCCUUGGAGUGGGGAAUAACGGCUGGAAACAGCCGCUAAUACCGCAUGAUACAGCUGGGAGGCAUCUCCCUGGCUGUCAAAGAUUUAUCGCUCUGAGAUGAGCUCGCGUCUGAUUAGCUAGUUGGCGGGGUAACGGCCCACCAAGGCGACGAUCAGUAGCCGGACUGAGAGGUUGGCCGGCCACAUUGGGACUGAGACAUGGUCCAAACUCCUACGGGAGGCAGCAGUGAGGAAUAUUGGUCAAUGGCCGGAAGGCUGAACCAGCCAAGUCGCGUGAGGGAAUAAGGCCCUACGGGUCGUAAACCUCUUUUGCCAGGGAGCAAUGCCGUCCACGUGUGGACGGAAGGAGAGUACCUGGAGAAAAAGCAUCGGCUAACUCCGUGCCAGCAGCCGCGGUAAUACGGAGGAUGCGAGCGUUAUCCGGAUUUAUUGGGUUUAAAGGGUGCGUAGGCGGCCUGCCAAGUCAGCGGUAAAAUUGCGGGGCUCAACCCCGUACAGCCGUUGAAACUGCCGGGCUCGAGUGGGCGAGAAGUAUGCGGAAUGCGUGGUGUAGCGGUGAAAUGCAUAGAUAUCACGCAGAACCCCGAUUGCGAAGGCAGCAUACCGGCGCCCGACUGACGCUGAGGCACGAAAGUGCGGGGAUCAAACAGGAUUAGAUACCCUGGUAGUCCGCACAGUAAACGAUGAAUGCUAGCUGUCCGGGGGGAUUGACCCCUGGGUGGCACAGCGAAAGCGUUAAGCAUUCCACCUGGGGAGUACGCCGGCAACGGUGAAACUCAAAGGAAUUGACGGGGGCCCGCACAAGCGGAGGAACAUGUGGUUUAAUUCGAUGAUACGCGAGGAACCUUACCCGGGCUCAAACGCCGAAGGGACAUUCCCCGAAAGGGGAUUGGCCAGCAAUGGUCUUCGGCGAGGUGCUGCAUGGUUGUCGUCAGCUCGUGCCGUGAGGUGUCGGCUUAAGUGCCAUAGCGAGCGCAACCCCCACCGACAGUUGCUAACUGGUCAAGCAGAGGACUCUGUCGGGACUGCCGGCGCAAGCUGCGAGGAAGGCGGGGAUGACGUCAAAUCAGCACGGCCCUUACGUCCGGGGCGACACACGUGUUACAAUGGCAGGUACAGCGGGAUGCCAUGGGGCGACCCAGAGCGGAACCCGAAAACCUGUCUCAGUUCGGAUCGCAGGCUGCAACCCGCCUGCGUGAAGUCGGAAUCGCUAGUAAUCGCGGAUCAGCAUGCCGCGGUGAAUACGUAAGCGGGCCUUGCACACACCGCCCGUCAAG
Molecule: ribosomal RNA, 1414 nt
Filed under: uncultured bacterium
Lineage: Bacteria
Description: bacterial SSU rRNA
Rfam family: Bacterial small subunit ribosomal RNA
Source: RNAcentral